UCAGUUCGGAUCGGAGUCUGCAACCCGACUCCGUGAAGCUGGAUUCGCUAGUAAUCGCGCAUCAGCCAUGGCGCGGUGAAUACGUUCCCGGGCCUUGUACACACCGCCCGUCAAGCCAUGGAAGCCGGGGUGCCUGAAGUGUGCAGCCGCAAGGAGCGCCCUAAGGUAAAACCGGUGACUGGGCUAAGUCGUAACAAGGUAAC
RNAcentral lists this ribosomal RNA (203 nucleotides) under uncultured bacterium. RNAcentral describes it as "partial 16S ribosomal RNA". It matches the Rfam family "Bacterial small subunit ribosomal RNA", at positions 1288 to 1500 of the family's 1533-position model. The record is from RNAcentral.